UAAUAUUUCUGUUUAUUUUAAUUAAAUAAAUAUGUUAAAUGUGCUCUAAACAGGUCAUUUUGGUCCACUACAGCACUGAUAGAAGCACUUCAUUUUCAUCUUUUAACAAAUAUCUUUAUUUUCUUUUAAUAUGAUAUUAUUGGCAGAGGCGCGCGACCAUCUCAUGCUUUGUGGUCACGUGAUUAUUCAACCGGAGACGCGCGUUAGGGAUUUUCUCCUCAGACCAGUGUUUCUGUUUUGUGGUCGAUUCUGGGAUCCUUUUCUUGGUGUGUCUUGAUGUUUUCUAUUGGCUAAAGACAUGUCUCUGUGAAACUGACAAUCUCAGGUAGGAGCUGCUGGUUUGUGGUUGGCAGUAUGGAUCACAGUCUGCGACUCAUGAGGAGCUGGGCUGGAGACAUGAAGAGGUUGUUAACAGGCCAUCCAUCCAAGAUCAUCUAUCUGAGCUGCUGAAAACUGCCUCGGUACGGAUCUGUUGGAGCUUUGUGUCACUGACUGUAUUUCUGCAAAUUCCUGUUCUGUGUCAAAUGGCUUAUGCAAGACUGAAUCCAUAAAGGGGAUGGUCUGUGGAGACUGUGGGCGAUUCCUUCUGCUGUCAUUUAAACAUGAGCAGGAGUAAUGACGGGAUUUAAAUGGACGAAGCUAAUAUUAUGCCAGAGUCCGCUGCUUCAUCGAUUACCCACAGAAGAACUUUAUUAACCCCUUGGAGCGGUGUGGAUUACUUCUUUAAAGGCUGCACUUCUUUGGGAAAAUGUACCCUGAUCCAUGUUUUUUCCCAUAUUAAGCUCGGAAAAGCAAGGACAUUUACUAAAAUAACUCAAUGUGUUCGUCUGAACAUGUGUAUGUCGAGUUACUGAGUGUGAGUACAUCACGGGGUAAUUUUAAAAUCUGUCUGAAGCAUUGCUUUAAAUAUUUAAAUGGAGUAUAGCAAUACAUAAUUGGGACUAAAUAACAAAGGUAAAAUAAAAUAUAAAUUCCUUUUAAUAUUAGUGUACCUAAUUGGAUUGAUCAUGCUUUACUUUUUGUUAAGACAACCCCUGUUUUUAA
Molecule: non-coding RNA, 1044 nt
Organism: Paramisgurnus dabryanus
Lineage: Eukaryota; Metazoa; Chordata; Actinopteri; Cypriniformes; Cobitidae
Source: RefSeq, a predicted model, not a curated record